AUACUGCAACCGUUUUUUAAAACCUCAUCAAAAUAUUCAAAUCACAUUCAGCUUGACAACAUUCACAUUUAGGCAAACAUUAAUCUUUGUGUGACAAUGGCAGGGAAAUUGUCUGUUUGAAGAUAAAAUGGUUUCUUCAUGAGAUUGCGUGGCACACAAUGACUAAUGUACUUCAGUAGUUAAUUGUGUCUUUGUAAUUGUCUCUGGAGACAUCAGUAUAUUAGCUAAGCUGGAAGCUCUGUGUAAACCAUGAGAGAGCCUUAAUCACGCUGUAGGAGGGGACCGCGGACUGUUUCUCUGCCCAAAAACUUUGUGCAGUCUUUUCGACAGCCACCAGUGAGGUUGUUAUAUUAAUGAAAGCCUCCUCCACACUAGGUAUUUAUCUUCCUGACAGCUGCAUCCCAGUUGAGCACUUAUCAAAGGUUUCGCAUCGUUUUUAUAGUUUUAUUUGGGUUACCUCUGAGCCCAAGCGAAUUUCUCCCAUCUGGACAUCUGAUGGUGGUCAGACAAUUGGUGAUCAUCGUGCUUUGUUUCUAUUUGUGACAGUUUCACUCUGUCUUCAUCACUCUCUCCAAGCAAGUUUUGCUGAAAGACAUGAAGAUGAGUUGACAAGGCUUCAGAGGGAGUAAAUGUUCCUUCAUAUGGAGCAUCCCAUGAGGGGGUACAGCCUGAGACUCCCCGUUGGUCAGUGGGUGAAAGGGCUUAUGUGUUAGCAGAUCAAAGCUCUGGCGGUGUUACCCCCUCCUGUGACAUCCUACUCCUCCACACCUUCUGAUUCAUACACCUUCACAAAGAAAACACGGACCUAUGAUCGCAGUCUGUUCUAGCCAGGCUUUGAUUCACCAGGCAAGGUGGCUUUGAACUCCGACGUCAUGGAGAGAAAACCAUUCAGCUUUGCAUGGAAGGAACUAAAAUCCAAUAACUGCCUGUCUUCUCGUUCUCCCUGUGGUAUCAAAGCAAAGGUAUCAUAAAUGCUUAAAUUAAGUUCUAGAUUUAGCUAGUACAUAUGUACACGAGUUUGCUUUAGCUUGCAGGUGAAUUAUCUUUUGGUAUAUAAGAGCAAAUGGCCACAUGUGGCGGCUUUUUUGGAUCACCGUGGGGGGUUGAGUUCAUGCUUUCCAUUGUCGUGCUGUUUGGCAAAGCGUGUGCUUUGUUUACCUGGAUAAUUGAUUUUAAGUCGAGUUAUGUACAGAGCGCUGUGAGAACAGGACUGCGGUCAUGUUACAGUCAUCUCUGGUGUUUAUACUGCGCAGAUGCUUGGCCCUUGUGAAUAUGAUCACCCCUCCUAGACCAUCAGACCACUUUUAUUUUCUAUCUUUACAAAUGAUCUGCCUU
Molecule: long non-coding RNA, 1335 nt
Organism: Cyprinus carpio (common carp)
Lineage: Eukaryota; Metazoa; Chordata; Actinopteri; Cypriniformes; Cyprinidae
Source: Ensembl